RNAcentral lists this unclassified non-coding RNA (263 nucleotides) under uncultured fungus. RNAcentral's name for it is "sequence contains ITS1, 5.8S rRNA gene". The stretch from base 215 to 263 matches the Rfam family "5.8S ribosomal RNA", at positions 1 to 49 of the family's 154-position model. The record is from RNAcentral. Lineage: Eukaryota; Fungi.
UCUCCGUUGGUGAACCAGCGGAGGGAUCAUUACUGAGUUUACGCUCUAUAACCCUUUGUGAACAUACCUAUAACUGUUGCUUCGGCGGGUAGGGUCUCCGCGACCCUCCCGGCCCGGACCGGACCCCCCGCGGGACCGGACCCGGCGCCCGCCGGAGGAUAACCAAACUCUGAUUUAACGACGUUUCUUCUGAGUGGUACAAGCAAAUAAUCAAAACUUUUAACAACGGAUCUCUUGGUUCUGGCAUCGAUGAAGAACGCAGC